UGGUGGAGUGAUUUGUCUGGUUAAUUCCGAUAACGAACGAGACUCUAGCCUGCUAAAUAGACGGGCGAUCCCUUCGUGGGUCGACCCGAUUUGCUUCUUAGAGGGACAAGUGGCGUUCCUAGCCACGCGAAAUUGAACAAUAACA
RNAcentral lists this ribosomal RNA (145 nucleotides) under uncultured eukaryote. Its description in RNAcentral is "partial 18S ribosomal RNA". It matches the Rfam family "Eukaryotic small subunit ribosomal RNA", at positions 1299 to 1458 of the family's 1831-position model. The record is from RNAcentral.